GAUAAACGCUGGCGGCGUGCCUAAUACAUGCAAGUCGUGCGGUAAGGCCCCUUCGGGGGUACACGAGUGGCGGACGGCAGAGUAACGCGUAGGAACGUACCCCAAAGUGAGGGAUAACUGCUCGAAAGAGUAGCUAAUACCGCAUACGAUCUUCGGAUUAAAGCAGCAAUGCGCUUUGGGAACGGCCUGCGUCCGAUUAGCUAGUUGGUAGAGUAAUAGCCUACCAAGGCGACGAUCGGUAGCUGGUCUGAGAGGAUGAUCAGCCUGACUGGAACUGAGACACGGUCCAGACUCCUACGGGAGGCAGCAGUAGGGAAUUUUCCACAAUGGGCGAAAGCCUGAUGGAGCAACGCCGCGUGCAGGAUGAAGGCCUUCGGGUUGUAAACUGCUUUUCUUUGUGAUGAAUUUGACAGUAGCAGAGGAAUAAGGGUCUUCUAACUACGUGCCAGCAGCCGCCGUAA
RNAcentral lists this ribosomal RNA (461 nucleotides) under uncultured bacterium. RNAcentral's name for it is "partial 16S ribosomal RNA". It matches the Rfam family "Bacterial small subunit ribosomal RNA", at positions 28 to 523 of the family's 1533-position model. The record is from RNAcentral.